RNAcentral lists this ribosomal RNA (451 nucleotides) under uncultured bacterium. Its description in RNAcentral is "partial 16S ribosomal RNA". It matches the Rfam family "Bacterial small subunit ribosomal RNA", at positions 29 to 523 of the family's 1533-position model. The record is from RNAcentral.
AGCGAACGCUGGCGGCAGGCUUAACACAUGCAAGUCGAGCGGGCGUAGCAAUACGUCAGCGGCAGACGGGUGAGUAACGCGUGGGAACGUACCUUUUGGUUCGGAACAACACAGGGAAGCUUGUGCUAAUACCGGAUAAGCCCUUACGGGGAAAGAUUUAUCGCCGAAAGAUCGGCCCGCGUCUGAUUAGCUAGUUGGUAGGGUAAUGGCCUACCAAGGCGACGAUCAGUAGCUGGUCUGAGAGGAUGAUCAGCCACACUGGGACUGAGACACGGCCCAGACUCCUACGGGGGGCAGCAGUGGGGAAUAUUGGACAAGGGGGGCAACCCUGAGCCAGCCAUGCCGGGUGAGUGAUGAAGGCCCUAGGGUUGUAAAGCUCUUUUGUGCGGGAAGAUAAUGACGGUACCGCAAGAAUAAGCCCCGGCUAACUUCGUGCCAGCCGCCGCCGUAA